RNAcentral lists this long non-coding RNA (441 nucleotides) under Capsicum annuum. Its description in RNAcentral is "long non-coding RNA (CANN_LNC016148)". The record is from RNAcentral. Lineage: Eukaryota; Viridiplantae; Streptophyta; Magnoliopsida; Solanales; Solanaceae.
CGUAAUUCUCGAAUGUAGGAUGAUUUGAGCCUCCUAGAAAUGUGUUUGGAUCUCCGGGAAUUGUCUGACAGCACUUCGUCUUGUCGAGUUGAUCUCCGGGUAGAACUCCGUUAGUCAAUUCGUUGAAAAGUUGUGUAGUCAAUGCAGAAGCUUCCUCCAAUGCUUGCAGAAUGUCCUCCUUUUCCCUCCCUAGAAUGUUAUGUUACUCCCCUAUUUAUAGUUGUAGGGGUAGGCCUAGUUGCUUGUGAUUUGCCGAAACAUGUCACUUUGCCACUUGACGCCUUUUGACUGAUUGUUGAAUUUGAAUGAGAUUUCCACAUCAUUUGUACUUGUGGCGGUGUCUCAUUGGUCUUGGAUUUGACUAGGAUGUCACGUCACUUGAUGAGUUUGGGCUUCAAGGUAAGAUGGACCUUGAUGAAGAAUAAAAUAGGCUUAUUAUUU